Molecule: non-coding RNA, 1169 nt
Organism: Chiloscyllium plagiosum (whitespotted bambooshark)
Lineage: Eukaryota; Metazoa; Chordata; Chondrichthyes; Orectolobiformes; Hemiscylliidae
Source: RefSeq, a predicted model, not a curated record
AUGAGCAUCUCACAGGGAAACAUCUACAUGGAAAGGUCCAAAGAUUUACCUUUGUUUCUUUGACCAUAUGAGAAAACUGGAUAUUCCUUUUGUGCGAAUAUUUACGAAACUAUACCCAGAGGCACAGGCAAUGAAUGUUAAUCGAUGUUUAAAUUUUUCUCCAGGCCAUUCAUGCAGAACUCUCCAAACUAGUACAGAAAAGGACUGGUCGGGGAGGAACCUUGAAGCUAAAGAACAGCUUGUGUCAGAAACCUGGGGAGAAACGAGCAACUUUUCAUUCAGAGUCUCAGAAGUCAGGCCUGGCUAUCCCUUGGAAGUGGCUGUUCGGAGCUGCGAUGGUGAUCAUUGGAAGCAUGGUGACCUCUGUUGUCUUGGCAGCACGAGGCUAAGUAAGAACGAAGAGGCAAGACCACACCAAGGCUUUUGAAGAAGACGCAUCUGACUCAGCUGAGUUAGUUCUGGACUGGCUAACCUGUCUGUAUCUUCUGACGUUGGCUCAUUUCACAGAAAGAGAAAAAGGGUAGAAAAUCCCGGUUUCUUUUCAAAAUAACAUCGAUACAGCAUUUGCCCAAUUAGAGAGUUAGGAAGUUUUCAGCAAUUCUGAAACUCAGCUCAGUUUCCUUUUUAACCAAACUAUGGUAUGGAGCAUUAGUGCGAUCAGUUAAUUCAGUAUAAACAGAGCCAAAUUAUUUUAAUCGUGUUCAGUUCAGGCAUGACAAACAAAUUGAAUUGAAUAUUGGAAAUAUUUCUGUAAAACACAGACAACUACUUUGGGAAUAAGAAAUGUAUAGGUUGGGCAUGGAUGGACAGGAUGGAUCAAAUGGCUACCUCUCGCUGUAAGAUUCCACAAUCACAUUCCAAUAAAGCAAUUAUUGUAAAGCAGUUUACAAACCUAUUCCUGGAUUAAUCAAUUGCCAAUAAUCCUGUGCAACUUCAGUAUCUUUAUUCAGUGUUGGAGGGGCGAUUUUGUUGGAGGUGUAUUAUGCACAUGUGCUACAUCAUUUCAUUAUACAAGAAACAGAAAGGUCAAACCAUGAUAUCGCAAUCCACACUAUUUUGAGUUGAUAACUUUGCUAGACAUUUGCCCUGUAGACGUAUCCCGCAGGAACGCUGUAAAACACAAUCAACAAAUGCAAGAAGCAUUGAAAAAUAAACUUGAUUCAAUCUAA